RNAcentral lists this ribosomal RNA (497 nucleotides) under uncultured bacterium. Its description in RNAcentral is "partial 16S ribosomal RNA". It matches the Rfam family "Bacterial small subunit ribosomal RNA", at positions 28 to 507 of the family's 1533-position model. The record is from RNAcentral.
GAUGAACGCUGGCGGCGUGCCUAAUACAUGCCAGUCGAGCGAAUGGACGAGAAGCUUGCUUCUCUGAUGUUAGCGGCGGACGGGUGAGUAACACGUGGAUAACCUACCUAUAAGACUGGGAUAACUUCGGGAAACCGGAGCUAAUACCGGAUAAUAUUUUGAACCGCAUGGUUCAAAAGUGAAAGACGGUCUUGCUGUCACUUAUAGAUGGAUCCGCGCUGCAUUAGCUAGUUGGUAAGGUAACGGCUUACCAAGGCAACGAUGCAUAGCCGACCUGAGAGGGUGAUCGGCCACACUGGAACUGAGACACGGUCCAGACUCCUACGGGAGGCAGCAGUAGGGAAUCUUCCGCAAUGGGCGAAAGCCUGACGGAGCAACGCCGCGUGAGUGAUGAAGGUCUUCGGAUCGUAAAACUCUGUUAUUAGGGAAGAACAUAUGUGUAAGUAACUGUGCACAUCUUGACGGCACCUAAUCAGAAAGCCACGGCUAACUACGUG